UUAUUGUAACGUCGUGGAUUUUAAUUUUGGGUGGUCAAAUUUGGAAUCUCUAGGUUUGUUUCGAAAGGCAGCGACAUCGAUGAAUGUCGUAGAGAUUACGAGGUUCGCUGCUAGAUGGCGCUUAUAUUAAAGUGCUCAGACAAAUAAAUAUGGACAAGUAGUUGGAGCUUUAUAAUCUGUAUAUAGACUUAAUAUAUGGUUAGAGGUAUUCCACAAGUAACGAAAGGUAUGGAAUCCGAAACCGACUUUAAAAACAAAUGUCACAUAUUAUCUGUGCAAUUUGUUGAUUGUACUCUGUAAGAAAGAUGAAUCGGUAACUUUAUAGCUUUGCUAUUGGUGAGGUUUUUUUAUGAAGAAAGUCCCGUUAUCUUCUCGUUAUAUACUCGGGCACGUUCGAGUUUUUUCUUUUGGCUGGCUGAAAUUUGGAGACAUGUAGUUGACUUUCCAAAACAUUAAAUUUACUUAGAGGCAGUGAUGUAAGAUACUUGGUAAGACUCGAAUUUAUAUUUGGUUAGCAUUCGUGAUUAUCGAAUUUUGUUGUGCUAAAGAGACAAAUUCUUGCAGUUCCGGUCAACCAUAAAAAUUUCCCGUGAGAUGUUAAGAUGGCUACCUACUGGGAACUAGGGCGGGAUAUCCUUUUAAGGAUGGGAAUGUAAUAUAUUCUGAACUUAACCUAACCUAUAUACGUGACCUAAUGUAAUCACACUUCUUCUUAAUACAACCACGUUAUUAUGUAGAAACGUAGAUUGGUUGUAGACAUUUGAAACGCCGGUUCUGAAACCUUUGGUCAUUCUUGGAACAUUUUUAUGGAACCUGAGUUGACUAUUACAUUUAAUCAUUUGCACGCGUCGAGUAGCAUGCUGUUAGCGGCGUAAAUCUUGGAGGUUCGCUGGCCGCCAGACAAAAUGACGGACGGAUGAAUGCAACAGCAAGGUCAGCGACCGCGUGGUGUCAGCUUCCAUCAUAAACGUCAGGUCGUACCUAUUCUUUCUUUUGUUAAAUGGAGUCAUGCUAAAACUUCUAUUUUUAUAUAUUGUUUUUUUAAAAGGAUGCGUUACAUUAAUUGUUGGUGGUGAUUCGGAUAUACCGUUCAGAUUACAAUAAGAUUUAGAGAUAACUAGACCUCUUUCGUGAGUGUUUAAAAUGCAACGUGUUUGUUGUCCCUUUAGUAUAAACGUGUGUAAUUGCUAAGCGAACUUAAAUGGAAUCAUCCUUGUGGAUUUGGCUGGUAGCGAUGUGAAUUCAUAACUUCUAGUGCGUUGUUCGACGGACCCACUUUAAAUACCUAGCCGUGGCAGUGGUUUGGUCAACAAAAAUCCAAACGCUAUAUCGACACCAUCUAAUCCCCAAGGAUUGGUAUAAUAAAACAAAUAUUUGAGAUAACCACUGUUUAUUUACAAAGUAUGUGCAAAGUAACUUAACAUUUAGGAAACCUGGUUUUUUUUAUGUAAUUUAACCCAUUAAUAUUUUGUCCUUUUAGGGUUUCUCAAGGGUUUAGCAUUACUUUUAUAUUGUAAAAAAAAGGUUCAUCUAAAAAUAUAGAAGCCAAAUACCGGUGAUUACUGUAAAA
This is a long non-coding RNA of Bicyclus anynana (squinting bush brown), 1570 nucleotides long. RefSeq lists it as uncharacterized. The record is from RefSeq and is a predicted model, not a curated record. NCBI's taxonomy places the organism in Eukaryota, Metazoa, Arthropoda, Insecta, Lepidoptera, Nymphalidae. The transcript has 2 exons.